UCGAGAAUCUUCGGCAAUGGGCGAAAGCCUGACCGAGCGACGCCGCGUGUGGGAUGAAGGCCCUUGGGUUGUAAACCACUGUCAGAGGGGAUGAAGUGCAUGUGGGCUAUCCCAUGUGUUUGACAUAGCCUCAGAGGAAGCACGGGCUAAGUAUGUGCCAGCAGCCGCGGUAAUACAUACUGUGCAAACGUUAUUCGGAAUCACUGGGCUUAAAGGGUGCGUAGGCGGCUAUUUAAGUAGGGUGUGAAAUCCCCCGGCUCAACCGGGGAACUGCGCUCUAAACUGGAUGGCUUGAGUGAGAUAGGGGUGUACGGAACUGCCAGUGGAGCGGUGAAAUGUGUUGAUAUUGGCAGGAACGCCUGUGGCGAAAGCGGUACACUGGGUCUCAACUGACGCUGAGGCACGAAAGCCAGGGGAGCGAACGGGAUUAGAUACCCCCGUAGUCC
Molecule: ribosomal RNA, 446 nt
Filed under: uncultured bacterium
Lineage: Bacteria
Description: bacterial SSU rRNA
Rfam family: Bacterial small subunit ribosomal RNA
Source: RNAcentral